RNAcentral lists this long non-coding RNA (521 nucleotides) under Sorghum bicolor (sorghum). RNAcentral's name for it is "long non-coding RNA (SBIC_LNC015041)". Lineage: Eukaryota; Viridiplantae; Streptophyta; Magnoliopsida; Poales; Poaceae. The record is from RNAcentral.
UGUAUGGUCCACAUUUUACCUAUAAAUUUGGUCGUCGUAAUUUAAGUUAUUAACAAAUGCAAAUGAAGACCGGCACCAUGUGUAGGAGGCCAUAAAGCUAAAUUUGGUUGUCGAAACUUUUUAAAUAGUUACAAAUGAAGACUUGUUUUGAGUCUAAUAAUGGACAAUUUUAAUCUAAAGGGUCCUUUAUCUAAAAAAAAAGAUAUCGAUCUAGUUUUGCAUGUGUAGCUACAAUAGUUUUAAUAUUUAUUUUGUAAAGACAGACUUUGUGUGGAUGGAUUUAUGCCCACGAAACGAGGCCACGAUGACAGGAUUUUUCCAUUGAUAAAUUACUGAAUUGUACUUGUACGUUCAUAUUCGUUGAUUUGUUAUAAAAAAAAUAUUGUUAAAUGACUAGCAGAUUCGAUAGAUAAACUCAAGCGAACAAGUAAUACUAAAUAUUUAUAUAUACCUAAUUAGAAUUUAGAAGGUAAGAAAAAAACUAUAUUACUAAUAGUAUACUAUUCCUAUGGUGCUAAGGG